CUCAGAUUGAACGCUGGCGGCAGGCCUAACACAUGSMAGUCGAGCGGUAGAGAGAAGCUUGCUUCUCUUGAGAGCGGCGGACGGGUGAGUAAUACCUAGGAAUCUGCCUGAUAGUGGGGGAUAACGUUCGGAAACGGACGCUAAUACCGCAUACGUCCUACGGGAGAAAGCAGGGGACCUUCGGGCCUUGCGCUAUCAGAUGAGCCUAGGUCGGAUUAGCUAGUUGGUGAGGUAAUGGCUCACCAAGGCUACGAUCCGUAACUGGUCUGAGAGGAUGAUCAGUCACACUGGAACUGAGACACGGUCCAGACUCCUACGGGAGGCAGCAGUGGGGAAUAUUGGACAAUGGGCGAAAGCCUGAUCCAGCCAUGCCGCGUGUGUGAAGAAGGUCUUCGGAUUGUAAAGCACUUUAAGUUGGGAGGAAGGGCAUUAACCUAAUACGUUGGUGUCUUGACGUUACCGACAGAAUAAGCACCGGCUAACUCUGUGCC
This 491-nucleotide ribosomal RNA is filed under the name Pseudomonas fragi. Its description in RNAcentral is "bacterial SSU rRNA". Lineage: Bacteria; Pseudomonadati; Pseudomonadota; Gammaproteobacteria; Pseudomonadales; Pseudomonadaceae. The record is from RNAcentral.